UAGGCCAAAGGCCAUGAAUUGU
This 22-nucleotide microRNA is filed under the name Rosa chinensis. RNAcentral describes it as "sRNA RchiOBHm_Chr1g0344435". The record is from RNAcentral. Lineage: Eukaryota; Viridiplantae; Streptophyta; Magnoliopsida; Rosales; Rosaceae.